GUUAAACUACAUCCAGGCAUGAGAUGGGAGGUUGUGUGUGGGGUUAGUGAGUCCCAACUAACGUCUAUAAAAUGCACACAAAGAACCGUUUGCACCUUCUCUUGUGACUGGCGGGCGGUCAGCGCCAUAAAGCUGAGCGGGUCCUUGGGUAAUUGGGGCGCGGACAACCAACAGGACAGACUAAGUUCAACAGCCCAGUAAGGCAAUUAGUCUAGGAGAAGGAUCUCUGAUGUAAAAUACCCCUUCCAACCCGCACCAAGCCAGCGUGGAAGGUGUAGGCUAAUAACCAGCAUGAAGAGUACACCAAGAGAGAUCAUUCACUAUGGCAGAAACAUGCUGAGGCUUUCGUCCAGCAGUGGACUGACAACGGCUGAUGAUGAUGAUUAGGUCGAUAUUUAUAUUUUCUCAAAAUAAUUGUUUUUGUUAUUGUUACAAACUCAGUGUCCAAAUGAUUUAGAAAAAGUAGUAGUUUUUGCUUGAAUUUAGUUAUUGUGUACUAUUCACUUUGUUUUGAUCAAAUAUUGUAUGUCAUAAAAAAGAAUAAGGAAGUAGUUUAAAUAAUGUGCUGACAUUGUUUAACUGUGAAUAGCACUAGAAAAUAGAUUCACAUCCACAAUUCUAAUUCAUUCAGAAUCUAAAUAGAUUCAUACUUUAAAAAAAAAAAAAAUUUGAAAUUCAACUACUUUUGAAAAUAUGUUUUGAGGCCAUCUCCAUGAAACUAGAGGGAGCUUUUCCAAUAUGUAACCUGUUUGGAAAAAUGUUCAUUAUAAUUGUUAUACAAAAUAACAUAUUGCAAAAAUUGGUUUGAAUCCAGGAUCUAGUCGGACUCGAUUCGUCACAACAUGAAUCGGAAUCGGAUCGCAUCGUUAGGUGCCCAAAGAUUCACUCCCUUGUCACUCACCAUAAAUCAAUUAAAAAAAAUAUCAGUUAAUACACGUGAAGGUUAUUGGUAUCGGCCGAUCUCACUCAUGAAUGGUCGGUAUCGGAAUCAGCAGCAUAAAACCCGCUUGUUUGGCAUCUACAAACUGACCAUGUGUUGUAGUUUUCAACUUGCAACAUGGUUGAUGCACUGUGGCGAUAUGGAGCUCACCUCAGGUGUACAAUACGAAUCAUAGAGCCAGCGAGGACAGCAGAGAUUCUCCCAGCGUUGCAGCAGCCGCUCAGAUUGGCCAGAAGAGCGCGGGACAUCUUGGGGAGGAAGUAGAGCAGCUGCACCAGGCGCUGCUGGGACUCUGCUGGCAAAAGAACCACAGCGCCUUCCUGUGGAUCUUCAGGGAGACAAGAAUUGUGUGUCAAAGGGACAUCAUGCAAUACAAGAAAACACUUUGUCGUGGUGACUGCCGUAGCCACCCGGAUAGCGUGUGUGUGUGUGUGUGUCUUUCUCUGACGCACAUGCUGAUGUCAGCUGCCCAUGGACAAAAGGACUCUUGUGAUGAAGAAACUGGAAGUUGCGAAGGCACUCGCUCUCUUGCAACAGAGCAACGCAGGAAGUGAUCACUGAUCAGUGGGAGUGACACACUAACAGCCAAUCAGGACAUUUGAGUAUCAAGAAAGGCAUACCAUAGAGCUUGCAGGCAUGCGUUUGGAGACUGGUGAGCAAGUCUUUGUUGCCCCUGGAGGCCGCAGCCUGGAUGGACUGGAUAAGCAAAGCUGAUAGAGCCGGAUUCCGGUGGCCCAGCUGUGCCAACUGUACAGGAAGUGAGGCCAGCCACUGACACAGCACCUUACUCCUUCAAACGAGGGAUUUAUAAUGUUGUCAGCAUUAAGCUAUUCACUUGAACCAGUAGAUGUCAUUUAAGAAAUGGAUUUGUUUCUAUCCUAAAUGAUAACAAGUAGGUUACCUGGCAAUAUGUGAAUGUCCUUGUUCGUGAAGGUAGAUUUUGCUGUAGAAAGACAGCAGAAGAGAUCUGGUCUGUAGUGUCAGGUGCCUCUGUUGAUAGUAUGCAUACGCUGCUGCAAACAGGUCCUCUGUCACUCCUGCAAUCAAAUAAAGAAACGCAAAAUAAGUUAGCAAGUCUUUUCUUAUAAGCGGCUAUUAUAGCAAGUUGCAACUGUUGCCAAUUAUAAUAAACACAAACUAGCUCGUCACAUGACAUGAUCCAUGCUAUAAUUAGAGCGCCAACGCUCACUUUUGCUCUUUUGUGUGAGCACCAUCUUCCACACAGUGCCAAGGAGCAUGUGCAGCUGCCUGUAGCUGAGCUUCACAUCGCCACCGAGGGUGUCUCGGACAAACGUCCUCAGAGGUGUCAGCCAGUCUCCGUCCGCGUCGCAGCCGACUCCCUGCCUCUGGCAGAGAGACACCAUCACCUGGCAGAGUGUGAUGUUUAGCGCCAGAGGAUCCACGGUCACAUCGGGGGCCGCUGGAGUCGGUUUACCCCUGGAGAGAAGAAAGUCGAGGGUUUCAGGAUUUGGCUUUUAUUCACCACCACAAAUGAUUGGGGGAAAAGCUAUAGACUCCAAGCUUUAAGAGGCAUUUAACAUUUAGCCCACCACCAAGACAUAUUUGGAAAACCUAAAAUAAUAUUUUUAAAGCAGGCUUCGCUACACAUCUUAAAAUAAAGCAGUCAGUUGCAGGUGUAGGAGCUGUGAGUUUGACCACGUUUUUCUCUAACGAACAGGCUGAUAUACCAUGAUGUGAUGUUAGCAUGUAGCUCAUAUAGCUAUGCUAGUGUUGCUAAUGUUUCUAUCCUCCUGUCUCACUCCUUUGUUAUGUUGUGUUAUCUACCACGUUGGGAGCAUUACAGUGUACUGCAAAGACUCUUUUAGGUUUAAUACCUCCAUACUUGUGUACUCUGUUACAAAGAAAAAACAGCUCUUAUGCAUUACGUUCUAACAACUUGUAUGUUUUAACUGUUCCCCAUGUACGGACUGAAUUUGGCAAAAGAGUUUUUGGCAUUGCUGCCCCUAUGACAUGGAAUGCAUUGCAGACGAAACUGAAACUCACUGAACUACUUCCAUUUGGAGACUUCCAUUCUGUCCUGAGGGACAGACAGCAAGAGACUUUUGCACAGUGCCUGUGUUUUUAAAAGGUGUAAAUCUUUAUUGUUUUACAGUUCUCUUUUAUGUAUUUUAAAAUGUAUGUCUUAACGUAUUACUUUUUUGAAACUGCUCUGUGACAUGUGCUGUUGACCGCUUGGCCAGGUCACCCUUGUGAAACAGAUCUUGAUCACAAUGGGUUUCUUAUCUGGUUAAAUAAAGGAUCUAGUGUUAAAAAAAGUAGAUUAGGUACACAAUUGCACUUAUUUGAGACCCACACACAUAAAACAGCAUGUUCCAGGUCAGGGUUGUCCAAACUUUUUCCACUGUGGGCCGCACACUGAAAAAUCAAAGCAUGCGAGGGCCAUUUUCAUGUUUUUCAUUUUCAAAACCAAUACAAUGUGUUAGCUUUUGUCUGUCUUGAACCUCAAGAUGCAGAGACA
This is a long non-coding RNA of Entelurus aequoreus (snake pipefish), 3419 nucleotides long. RefSeq lists it as uncharacterized. The transcript is spliced from 3 exons. Lineage: Eukaryota; Metazoa; Chordata; Actinopteri; Syngnathiformes; Syngnathidae. The record is from RefSeq and is a predicted model, not a curated record.